This 492-nucleotide ribosomal RNA is filed under the name uncultured bacterium. Its description in RNAcentral is "partial 16S ribosomal RNA". It matches the Rfam family "Bacterial small subunit ribosomal RNA", at positions 29 to 507 of the family's 1533-position model. The record is from RNAcentral.
AGUGAACGCUGGCGGUAGGCCUAACACAUGCAAGUCGAACGGCAGCACAGUAAGAGCUUGCUCUUACGGGUGGCGAGUGGCGGACGGGUGAGGAAUACAUCGGAAUCUACUUUUUCGUGGGGGAUAACGUAGGGAAACUUACGCUAAUACCGCAUACGACCUACGGGUGAAAGCAGGGGAUCUUCGGACCUUGCGCGAUUGAAUGAGCCGAUGUCGGAUUAGCUAGUUGGCGGGGUAAAGGCCCACCAAGGCGACGAUCCGUAGCUGGUCUGAGAGGAUGAUCAGCCACCCUGGAACUGAAACAGCGUCCAGAAUCCUACGGGGGGCAGCAGUGGGGAAUAAUAGACCAUGGGCGCAAGCCUGAUCCAGCCAUACCGCGUGGGUGAAGAAGGCCUUCGGGUUGUAAAGCCCUUUUGUUGGGAAAGAAAAGCAGCAGGUUAAUACCCCGCUGUUCUGACGGUACCCAAAGAAUAAGCACCGGCUAACUUCGUG